Long non-coding RNA from Gavialis gangeticus (Gharial), 223 nucleotides. RefSeq lists it as uncharacterized. The record is from RefSeq and is a predicted model, not a curated record. NCBI's taxonomy places the organism in Eukaryota, Metazoa, Chordata, Crocodylia, Gavialidae. The transcript has 2 exons.
CAGGAAACAUGAAGUCAGGCAUAUGCCACAAAAAACAGCUGGCUCUGUGAUUUUGGCAGACUUGAUGAAGACUAUAUCUCACCUCCUGCUCAUCCCAUUAUGUAUUGUUGGAGGAAAGGAGAGGUUGGUUUGUUUGUUUACCUUAAGUUGCACAACUAUUUUAUUUAAACAGUGUAAGAAAUUAUUUUUAAAAAUAAAUAAGAGUAAGCUACUUUAAACACUG